Molecule: ribosomal RNA, 253 nt
Filed under: uncultured bacterium
Lineage: Bacteria
Description: partial 16S ribosomal RNA
Rfam family: Bacterial small subunit ribosomal RNA
Source: RNAcentral
UACGGAGGGUGCAAGCGUUGUCCGGAUUUAUUGGGUUUAAAGGGUGCGUAGGCGGCCCUGUAAGUCAGUGGUGAAAUUCUUGAGCUUAACUGCAGAACUGCCAUUGAUACUGAUGGUCUUGAGUACAUUUGAGGUGGGCGGAAUGUGUCAUGUAGUGGUGAAAUACUUAGAUAUGACACAGAACUCCGAUUGCGAAGGCAGCUCACUAAACUGUAACUGACGCUGAGGCACGAAAGCGUGGGGAUCAAACAGG